AACGAACGCUGGCGGCAUGCCUAACACAUGCAAGUCGAACGAAACCUUCGGGUCUAGUGGCGCACGGGUGCGUAACGCGUGGGAACCUGCCCUUAGGUUCGGAAUAACUCCCCGACAGGGGUGCUAAUACCGGAUAAGGUCUUCGGACCAAAGAUUUAUCGCGUUUGGAUGGGCGCGCGUUGGAUUAGCUAGUUGGUAGGGUAAAAGCCUACCAAGGCGACGAUCCAUAGCUGGUCUGAGAGGAUGAUCAGCCACACUGGGACUGAGACACGGCCCAGAAUCCUACGCGAGGCAGCAGUGGGGAAUAGUGCACCAUGGCCGAAAGCAUGAUCCAGCAAUGACGCGUGAGUGAUGAAGGCCUUAGGGUUGUAAAGCUCUUUUACCCGGGAUGAUAAUGACAGUACCGGGAGAAUAAGCCCCGGCUAACUACGUG
This 433-nucleotide ribosomal RNA is filed under the name uncultured bacterium. Its description in RNAcentral is "partial 16S ribosomal RNA". It matches the Rfam family "Bacterial small subunit ribosomal RNA", at positions 29 to 507 of the family's 1533-position model. The record is from RNAcentral.